This 420-nucleotide long non-coding RNA is filed under the name Homo sapiens (human). Its description in RNAcentral is "long non-coding RNA NONHSAT217311.1". The record is from RNAcentral. Lineage: Eukaryota; Metazoa; Chordata; Mammalia; Primates; Hominidae.
GUUCAAACCGUGUUCAAAUAAGGCAAACGCCAGCCUGUAACCAAUCCAGCUGCUCUGUACCUCACUUCCCAAUUUCUAUCUAGAAGAAAGGAUCUGAGUGACAGGCUUAGGUGCGUUGUCUGCGUCCCAGGAACAGAGCAAAGCACACUGGCUCAGGCAUGAGGAAGCCACACCCCAAUCCUGCCUUUCAGGUGCCAAUGGAGAACAACCCCUUCAGCGGAACCAUGGUGCUUUACAUCUCUCUCUGAACUCUCAGAUCUCCUAAGUGGAGAUGGCUGAUUAAGGCUCUUAUCUUUCACGUUCUAAAAUCAAUUUAGUGUUGUUCGGAGCCAGCAAUGUUAAAAUAUAUUUGUAUUUUGAAACAAAGUUAACAUAGAGAAAUGAAAAAUAAAAUGUUGAGAAUUUUACAUUUAAUUGCAG